GAAUCUUCCGCAAUGGACGCAAGUCUGACGGAGCGACGCCGCGUGGGGGAAGCAGGCNNNCGGGUNGUAAACCUCUGUCCUCANGGGNGAAGAGGGUGUAGCGAUGCACCGAAGACGGUACCUGAGGAGGAAGCACCGGCUAACUACGUGCAAGCCGCCGCGGUAAUACGUAGGGGGCUAGCGUUGGCCGGAAUUACUGGGCGGAAAGGGCUUGUAGGCGGUAUUUUAAGUUAGGCGUGAAAGACCGCGGCUUAACCGGGGGGGUGCGUCUAAAACUGGAGUACUUGAGUGCAGGAGAGGAAAGCGGAAUUCCCGGUGUAGCGGUGAUAUGCGUAGAUAUCGGGAGGAACACCAGUGGCGAAGGCGGCUUUCUGGCCUGCAACUGACGCUGAGGCGCGAAAGCUGGGGGAGCAAACA
This 417-nucleotide ribosomal RNA is filed under the name uncultured bacterium. RNAcentral's name for it is "partial 16S ribosomal RNA". It matches the Rfam family "Bacterial small subunit ribosomal RNA", at positions 359 to 774 of the family's 1533-position model. The record is from RNAcentral.